This 553-nucleotide ribosomal RNA is filed under the name uncultured bacterium. RNAcentral describes it as "partial 16S ribosomal RNA". It matches the Rfam family "Bacterial small subunit ribosomal RNA", at positions 355 to 902 of the family's 1533-position model. The record is from RNAcentral.
UGGGGAAUUUUGGACAAUGGGCGAAAGCCUGAUCCAGCAAUGCCGCGUGUGUGAAGAAGGCCUUCGGGUUGUAAAGCACUUUUGUCCGGAAAGAAAUCCUUGGCUCUAAUACAGUCGGGGGAUGACGGUACCGGAAGAAUAAGCACCGGCUAACUACGUGCCAGCAGCCGCGGUAAUACGUAGGGUGCAAGCGUUAAUCGGAAUUACUGGGCGUAAAGCGUGCGCAGGCGGUUUGCUAAGACCGAUGUGAAAUCCCCGGGCUCAACCUGGGAACUGCAUUGGUGACUGGCAGGCUAGAGUAUGGCAGAGGGGGGUAGAAUUCCACGUGUAGCAGUGAAAUGCGUAGAGAUGUGGAGGAAUACCGAUGGCGAAGGCAGCCCCCUGGGCCAAUACUGACGCUCAUGCACGAAAGCGUGGGGAGCAAACAGGAUUAGAUACCCUGGUAGUCCACGCCCUAAACGAUGUCAACUAGUUGUUGGGGAUUCAUUUCCUAGUAACGUAGCUAACGCGUGAAGUUGACCGCCUGGGGAGUACGGUCGCAAGAUUAAAACUC